AGCUGUGUAACUGGGCACAUCACUCCAUCUUUGGAGCCUGUGUUUCCUCAUCAGAAAAUGGAGAAAUAGGGCUAGAAGAUAUGUGCAGACAUUUCAGUUUUCCAGCCAAACCCUUUAUUGUCACCUAAGGGAUAGUUCUCAGAGCAUGGCUGAGUCAGGGCACUUUUCAUUUUUCUUCAUGUUAGUUUCCCUGUGAUAAAAAUGAGAGAAUGGGACUAUAAAAGUGGUUCUUAACGAGCGAGACGUGUCAAAAUUACUUGGGAAACUUUUUAAAAACGUACAUACCCUUGUCCUACCCCAGACCUACUAAUUAAGUGGCACAGAUCUUAAUAAGCUUGGAUACCCAAAUACCCAAUUACAUAAGACCUAGAAAUGUCAUCUGCAGGGCCUGAGCCAAUGCUUGAUUACUCAAUAGGCAAUAAUCAUAUAUAUGGGUCACAUGCAAAGCAGGGGCAUGUCCCCCAAUGCUGGUUGUUCUCUGUCCUCUCACUACCCAGUUCCAUUCUCGGCUCUUCUCUACCCUACCCCUGGAAACUGACCUCUAUGAACUGUAUUUCCAGGUCUCACUUGCCCUCUGGCUUCUGACUGAGCCUGGCUCAUGAGAGUCAGAGGCAGAUCUGAAGGUGGAAGGAAAGUGUGGGUGGGGUUCCCCCUCACCAGCUUGCUGGGCUGAGCUGAAGUUCUGGCAAUGGCUGUGCUUCUCCAUGGCUACACCUCCAGGCUCCUGCGCUGGACCUCAGACUUAGGGAUGGCAACCUCUCCCUGCUGUUGCUGGUCUUUAGGCCAGCAGCAGGCAUUUGGGCACCAUGAAAAAUGAGGCACAGAGAGAGAGAGAGAGAGAGAGAGAGAGGCACUGGCCACGGCAGUGUGGAUGUCAUAGGAGCAGCUCUGGAGGGCAGCAGCACCACCGGGUUUCUCUUGGGCACAUGGUUUAAUCUUUCUGAGUCUCCAUUUCCUUUGGAGAAAUGAGUAGCUCCCUUAGAGAGUUUUUGUGGGAGUUUAAUGAGAAAAGUAAAUAAGGUACCUGAUCUGAAUAAGUGCUCAGUAUAUAGUGCUUACCCUCCUCUCGGGGGCGGGGUGGGGGCAUUUAUCUGCCCGCAGUGACUUAGGCAACAGUCUUUUCCGAAGAGAAGUGGGACUUCUCAACAUUCCCAAGCUUUGCAGUGCAUCAGAGUCACUUGGGAAGCUUAUUAAACAUACAGAUGACGGAACUUCACGCAGGAGUUCUGCCUCAGUAGCUUUGGGGUGGGGCUCCGGCAUCCGUGUUUUAAUGAGCUCCCCAAAGGAUUCAAAUGCACACUGAAGUUUGAGCACCUCUGUGCUGGAUACAAGCAUAGGAAUCAAUAAAUAGCCGCGGGGACUCGUGAUGAAAGAGGCACCAAAGAAAGGGUUAACUGAAGGGUAACUUACACUACCCUCAGCCGCAGCCGCAGAUGUCUGAGAAGGUUUCCCAGGGCUUGAAGACUAAGCCAGGUCUACCAGGCAGAAUAGUGGAUAUGUGCAAAGACAUAAAGGUGGGACAGAGUGUGACUAGGUACGUCUGGGGCAUAGGGUGCCAGGGCUGGUGGUGGGAAAUGACGCAGGAAGAGGUGUGUGUCUGGGCACUGGAUUGUGGCGGGCCUGCACUGCCAAGAAGUUUCAAAUCAUGAUCAAGUCCAGGGAGAGCCGUGAAGAUUUGCAGAUGGGGGUGAACAAACAGAUUUUCACUGUAGAAAGCUCAUUUUUUGAAAGCAACCAGUAUGGAGAGUGGGAUGGCACCGUCAAUACUGGGGGCAAAGAGAACAAUCAGGAAGCUGUCCUAGUAGCUCAGGAGAAAGUUGGGAAAGAUGUAAGUCGGAGUAGUGGCAGUAGAGGGUUGAGAGACGAUCGUUUUAAAUGUUUGUUUAUAUUUGAGAGAGGGAGGAGGGAGAGAGAGAAUGAGGGAGAGCCCACGUGCACAUGAGCGAGUGAGGGGCAGAGAGAGGGAGAGUCAGAGGAUCCAAAUCAGGCUCUGUGCUGAGAGCAGAGAGCCUGAUGACAGGCUCAGACUCAUGAACCAUGAGACCAUGACCUGAGCUGAAGUCAGAUGCUUAACCAACUGAGCCACCCAGGUGCCCCAUUGAGGAAUCUUAUAAGACUGUGGACAUAGACGCUUGGAGAUAAAGUGCUUAGCUGGCCUUACAUCUUGGAUAAUGAAAAGCAUGGGGAAUACUGAUGUAUCAGUUACCGUAAAGUUUCUGUUAAACCUAUAUUUAUUUAUAUCCUGUCAUUAUAAACUUGAGUUUUUUGUCUACUAUCAAAUGACUUCCUUAUAAUAGGACAGGUUGGUUUUAAUGGUUUCAAGGAUUGCUGACUAACAACCUUGAGACCAUAAAUAUAUUUAUAGGAAACUACUUUUGUUACAAUGUUUGUGCUGUGAAACUGGGUUAUUUACUCAAAGUUAUAUACUGUGUUUAUCCUAAGACUUUGAAUUCACCCCCCAACUUGUGAUAAUUAUCUCCCUAUGACUUCUCUACCUUAGGAUUCUGUAACUUUAUGAAUAAAGGUGACCGAACUUGUUUAUUAGCA
Molecule: long non-coding RNA, 2547 nt
Organism: Neofelis nebulosa (Clouded leopard)
Lineage: Eukaryota; Metazoa; Chordata; Mammalia; Carnivora; Felidae
Exons: 2
Source: RefSeq, a predicted model, not a curated record